AGUGAACGCUGGCGGUAGGCCUAACACAUGCAAGUCGAACGGCAGCACAGUAAGAGCUUGCUCUUACGGGUGGCGAGUGGCGGACGGGUGAGGAAUACAUCGGAAUCUACUUUUUCGUGGGGGAUAACGUAGGGAAACUUACGCUAAUACCGCAUACGACCUACGGGUGAAAGCAGGUGAUCUUCGGACCUUGCGCGAUUGAAUGAGCCGAUGUCGGAUUAGCUAGUUGGCGGGGUAAAGGCCCACCAAGGCGACGAUCCGUAGCUGGUCUGAGAGGAUGAUAAGCCACACUGGAACUGAGACACGGUCCAGACUCCUACGGGAGGCAGCAGUGGGGAAUAUUGGACAAUGGGCGCAAGCCUGAUCCAGCCAUACCGCGUGGGUGAAGAAGGCCUUCGGGUUGUAAAGCCCUUUUGUUGGGAAAGAAAAGCAGCAGGUUAAUACCCCGCUGUUCUGACGGUACCCAAAGAAUAAGCACCGGCUAACUUCGUG
Molecule: ribosomal RNA, 492 nt
Filed under: uncultured bacterium
Lineage: Bacteria
Description: partial 16S ribosomal RNA
Rfam family: Bacterial small subunit ribosomal RNA
Source: RNAcentral